CAAUGGCCCUGGGCCAGUGUCUGUCAGCCAGUUUCCCAGCCCCUGGUACACUGAAGCUCAGGCCUUUCUUGGCUCCCUGGUCUCCUACACUGAGCUGUGUGAGCUCUUCUGCCCAGGCAGGCCACUUGGCAUUGAUCGGCAUAGAUGGUGACCCCGGAGGAAAACUUGUGUUGGGCCCGCUGUCACUGGGCCAGUGUCAGUCAGCCAGGUGCCCAGUCCCUGGUGCACUGAAGCUUGGGCCCUUCUGGCACCCUUGGCUCCUGCACUGAGCUAUGUGAGCUCUUCUGCCCAAGUGGUCCCUGUGGCCUUGAGCGGCAUAGAUGGUAAGACUUCUGUUGGGCUCACUUUUCCUGGGCCAGUG
Long non-coding RNA from Symphalangus syndactylus (siamang), 361 nucleotides. RefSeq lists it as uncharacterized. The record is from RefSeq and is a predicted model, not a curated record. NCBI's taxonomy places the organism in Eukaryota, Metazoa, Chordata, Mammalia, Primates, Hylobatidae.